UACGUAGGGGGCAAGCGUUGUCCGGAUUUAUUGGGCGUAAAGAGCGUGUAGGCGGUCAGGUAGGUCCGUUGUGAAAACUGGAGGCUCAACCUCCAGCCUGCAGUGGGUACGGGCAAACUAGAGUGCGGUAGGGGGAGAUUGGAAUUCCUGGUGUAGCGGUGGAAUGCGCAGAUAUCAAGCGGAACACCGGUGGCGAAGGCGGCCUUCGUGGACAGUGACUGACGCUGAGACGCGAAAGCGUGGGGAGCAAACAGG
RNAcentral lists this ribosomal RNA (255 nucleotides) under uncultured bacterium. RNAcentral describes it as "partial 16S ribosomal RNA". It matches the Rfam family "Bacterial small subunit ribosomal RNA", at positions 524 to 776 of the family's 1533-position model. The record is from RNAcentral.